RNAcentral lists this small RNA (134 nucleotides) under Escherichia coli. RNAcentral's name for it is "RtT sRNA". It matches the Rfam family "RtT RNA". Rfam says of the family: This family represents a bacterial cis-regulatory element known as RtT RNA. The exact function of RtT is unknown although it is thought that it may be involved in changing the cellular response in relation to amino acid starvation. The record is from RNAcentral. Lineage: Bacteria; Pseudomonadati; Pseudomonadota; Gammaproteobacteria; Enterobacterales; Enterobacteriaceae.
UGCAUCUUCAGCUCAUGAGGAUGAGAACCUCCGGGGGCAGGGAGGUUCGACUCGAGCGAAGCGAGAGAACGUUGCGCCAGCAACGGCCCGCAGGGCGAGCCACGAAGUGGCGAGUAAUCCUCUAUCACCGACCA